UUUGAUCUGCCCCUCAUGGAGAAGUAGAUCAAAAAUUUUGUCGGCCUUUGAUGUGUCAAAACUGAACGCCUCCAUUUCUUUUUUCCCGAAAGGACACGAUAUCGGCUUUUUUCCUUUAACCCACUCUGCUAGGCUGAUUUCCACUUCCUCCUCAGAUUCAGAUCCCUCUAAGUAUGCCACCUUCUUCUGAAAGUUUCUUCGAUGAUCAAAGGGGCGUACUUCUUUACCAACCUAUUGGUGGACGAUCUGACUCGGGCUCUCGAACUCCUGGGAGG
Molecule: long non-coding RNA, 275 nt
Filed under: Setaria viridis
Lineage: Eukaryota; Viridiplantae; Streptophyta; Magnoliopsida; Poales; Poaceae
Description: long non-coding RNA (SVIR_LNC005093)
Source: RNAcentral